Long non-coding RNA from Dendrobium catenatum, 316 nucleotides. RefSeq lists it as uncharacterized. NCBI's taxonomy places the organism in Eukaryota, Viridiplantae, Streptophyta, Magnoliopsida, Asparagales, Orchidaceae. The transcript has 4 exons. The record is from RefSeq and is a predicted model, not a curated record.
AAAUCCUUCAGGGUGCACUAAAUGUGGUUCUGGGAAAUUCUUCUGAAAUUGGCGAUGCUCUAUUGGAAAGCACGCAGGUGAGGAAGCUCACGUUCACUGGUUCAACAGCUGUUGGGAAGAAGCUAAUGGCAGGCUCAGCGAAUACUGUUAAAAAGGUGUCAUUGGAGCUUGGCGGGAAUGCCCCUUGCAUUGUUUUUGAUGACGCAGAAAUAGAUGUGGCAGUAAAAGGAAGUCUUGCAGCAAAGUUCCGCAACAGUGGACAAACAUGUGUUUGUGCAAACAGGAUUUUGGUCCAAGAAGGUAAAGCCAUUUUUUU